GACGAACGCUGGCGGCGCGCUUAACACAUGCAAGUCGAACGGAAAGGCCUGCUUUCCCUUGUGGAUUGCGGGUACUCGAGUGGCGAACGGGUGAGUAACACGUGAGUGAUCUGCCCCCAACUUGGGUAUAAGCCUGGGAAACUGGGUCUAAUUCCCGAUAGGACUGCAGGGUGGUGCCUGUGGUGGAAAACGAUUUUCUAGUGGUUGGGGAUGAGCUCGCGGCCUAUCAGCUUGUUGGUGGGGUAAUGGCCUACCAAGGCGGCGACGGGUAGCCGGCCUGAGAGGGUGGACGGCAGCAUUGGGACUGGGAUACGGCCCAGACUCCUACGGGAGGCAGCAGUGGGGAAUAUUGCACCAUGGGCGGAAGCCUGAUGCAGCGACGCGGCGUGGGGGAUGACGGCCUUCGGGUUGUAAACUCCUUUCGACCGCGAGGAAGCCACCUGGUUGGAAGGGUGGUGACGGUAGUGGUAGAAGAAGCACCGGCUAACUACGUG
This 494-nucleotide ribosomal RNA is filed under the name uncultured bacterium. RNAcentral's name for it is "partial 16S ribosomal RNA". It matches the Rfam family "Bacterial small subunit ribosomal RNA", at positions 28 to 507 of the family's 1533-position model. The record is from RNAcentral.